ACUGAACGCUGGCGGCAUGCUUUACACAUGCAAGCCGAACGGUAACAGGCCGCAAGGUGCUGACGCGUGGCGCACGGGGGAGUAAUGCACCGGAAUGUGCCCCGUCGUGGGGGGUAACUACUCGAAAGAGUAGCUAAUACCGCAUACGAUCUAUGGAUGAAAGCGGGGGACCGUAAGGCAUCGCGCGCUUGGAGCGGCCGAUGUCAGAUUAGGUAGCUGGUGGGGUAAAGGCUCACCAAGCAAGCGAUCUGUAGCUGGUCUGAGAGGGCGACCAGCCACACGAGGACUGAGACGCGCCCCAGGCUCCUGCGAGGGACCAGAGUGGAAUAUUUUGGACUAGGGGCGAAAACCUGAUACAGCAAUGCCGCGUGCAGGAAGAAGGCCGUGGGGUUGAAAACUGCUUUUGUACGGAACGAAGCGGCUCUGGUUAAUACCCGGGGCUAGUGGCGAUACCGUAAGAAUGCGCCCGGGCUAUCUGCG
Molecule: ribosomal RNA, 480 nt
Filed under: uncultured bacterium
Lineage: Bacteria
Description: partial 16S ribosomal RNA
Rfam family: Bacterial small subunit ribosomal RNA
Source: RNAcentral